UACACUCCUGCGGGAGGCAGCAGUGGGGAAUUUUGGACAAUGGGCGAAAGCCUGAUCCAGCAAUGCCGCGUGAGUGAAGAAGGCCUUCGGGUUGUAAAGCUCUUUUGUCAGGGAAGAAACGGUGAAAGCUAAUAUCUUUUGCUAAUGACGGUACCUGAAGAAUAAGCACCGGCUAACUACGUGCCAGCAGCCGCGGUAAUACGUAGGGUGCAAGCGUUAAUCGGAAUUACUGGGCGUAAAGCGUGCGCAGGCGGUUUUGUAAGUCUGAUGUGAAAUCCCCGGGCUCAACCUGGGAAUUGCAUUGGAGACUGCAAGGCUAGAAUCUGGCAGAGGGGGGUAGAAUUCCACGUGUAGCAGUGAAAUGCGUAGAUAUGUGGAGGAACACCGAUGGCGAAGGCAGCCCCCUGGGUCAAGAUUGACGCUCAUGCACGAAAGCGUGGGGAGCAAACAGGAUUAGAAACCCCGGUAGUCCCA
RNAcentral lists this ribosomal RNA (474 nucleotides) under uncultured organism. RNAcentral describes it as "partial 16S ribosomal RNA". It matches the Rfam family "Bacterial small subunit ribosomal RNA", at positions 332 to 797 of the family's 1533-position model. The record is from RNAcentral.